GACAUGGUUCCAUUUGCCCAAAUGAGCUCAAAUUUGACAUGGUAGACCUUGAACAUCCCCUGUUUAGGUGUAAUUAAUUUGAGAAUUUUUGGAUGUGUUUUGGUAUGGAUUUGAAUGCAAUAAUUCUGUUUGUAUGCUUGGUGCUUCAUUUGAACCAAUGUGCCUUGUUUUGUGCAUGAAUUGAUUUGGUAUGGAUUUGAAUGCAAUAAUUCUGUUUGUAUGCUUGGUGCUUCAUUUGAACCAAUGUGCCUUGUUUUGUGCAUGAAUUGAACAUAAUGGAUGAUAUAAACAUGAGACCAAUGAUGUUUGCUCUUGUUUGAUG
This 322-nucleotide long non-coding RNA is filed under the name Lathyrus oleraceus (garden pea). RNAcentral describes it as "Pisum sativum (pea) long non-coding RNA (PSAT_LNC034682)". The record is from RNAcentral. Lineage: Eukaryota; Viridiplantae; Streptophyta; Magnoliopsida; Fabales; Fabaceae.